This is a non-coding RNA of Coffea arabica (coffee), 1477 nucleotides long. NCBI's taxonomy places the organism in Eukaryota, Viridiplantae, Streptophyta, Magnoliopsida, Gentianales, Rubiaceae. The record is from RefSeq and is a predicted model, not a curated record.
ACGAGUGUCCAAUCAAACCCUUUCAUAAAGACCAGUCAAAUCCGUCAGAUGCACUGACCAUCUCCGAUCUCUAGAGACCCGUGCGGCCAGUCCUUCUUCCCAACAAAUUCCCUAUAAAUACCCAACGUAUCUACCAAGAGGGGGGAUGACCAAUUUUCUGGUAAAACAUACUACUCUUCUCUAUUACUACAUUACCUCUUCACUACCGAACUAACUUAAGUUUCGGAGUUAUACCGGGGGACCCAGCCCCUCUUUCAACCUCAGGAGGUGAUCUCGUCCCAGUGAACUAUCCAAAAUAGAGCCCCUCCUCAAAUUGGAAGGUUCAUUCCAGCGGGACUGGAAUCACCUCUUCAUUCUACUUUUCACCUGUUUUUGCAUUUUGAAACCAUUUUCUUUCAAUGCUUCUCCGAUGUUCCCCUGCACUUAUGAAGGGAUACCGUUAACGGCGGCACGAUCUUUCAUCUCUAAUCCCGGUGUAAUGUAUCGCCAUGCUGUUGAAUAUUUUGAUUUAAGAUCUUUUCUUUUUAAGAGGUGGAAUAGAAUAAUUCGAUUGAAACGCAAUGAUCAUACGUCUGUGAUAUAUUGUAUGUUUCAUAAUAGGUCCCAUGUACUGCCCUUUCUAUCCAAAGAAAGAAUUCGACCCAAUGCGUUGUUUCUGUCCAAUCUUUUCAAUUACCAUCAGAACUCAGAAGUGGAAAGAGAGAGAGAAGGAUCAAUAAAGGAGAACAGAAGAGGAGGUUUCAUGGAACCAUACCAAAGUGAAUAAAAUAGUGGUGCAUUCGUUCCAGGUCACUUUAUCUCUUCACACGUUCUGCGCAAAGCGAACGUUCGACCAAAGAUGCCGAGCGAUAGUAGUAGUAUCAAUACUCAAAGAGAUAGACAACGUGGAUGGCGGUGAUAAGUUAUUCUGAGUUCGAACUUUGAAGUAGAGCAAGAAGGGGUCUCCACAUUAUUCUGAGUUUUCACCACUUUACCACCAUUCCGUGUUGGGGGAUUCGCAGAUGAAAGCAACAGCCGUCAAAAGAGAUUCAGUAGCGACCGAAAUUCGACGAAAUUUCACAGCAAUCUCCUGUUAAUUGAUUGUAGCCAUCAGAGGAUUCCUCCCAGUUGUUGUUCCAAGUGUGAAUUGCAAAUUGCCAGCAUCCAGGAUCCAAAUUGCGGUCAUCGAUGUGGUCUCUCAGAAGAUUCGAUUUCUGAUCCUGAGGAUCGUAGCAUUACGCAAGCAGCAGCAGCCAAGUGGACCCAGUCCUCUUCAGAUCUGACGUUUUUUUUUUUUUUGGAUAGAAAGAUCAGAGACAGACCCUAUCCAUCCAUUCCGUUCCUCGAACCAGCUUGUCUCCUUUCCUUCCUUCUACAUCUGUCAAAAUAGGUGGCUCGAAGAGGGUUUGAACGGUCAUGCUGAGUAACACACUAUAAUUGAGUUAAUUUAUUUAUGAGUAAAAUUUAUAUAUAAUAAAUUUUGAAUUUUAAAUUUAAA